AACGAACGCUGGCGGCAUGCCUAACACAUGCAAGUCGAACGAGACCUUCGGGUCUAGUGGCGCACGGGUGCGUAACGCGUGGGAACAUGCACUUAGGUUCGGCAUAACUCCCCGAAAGGGGUGCUAAUACCGGAUAAUGUCUUCGGACCAAAGAUUUAUCGCCCUUGGUGGGGCCCGCGUUGGAUUAGCUAGUUGGUAGGGUAAAAGCCUACCACGGCGACGAUCCAUAGCUGGUCUGUGAGGAUGAUCAGCCACACUGGGACUGGGACACGGCCCGGACUCCUACGGGAGGCAGCAGUGGGGAAUAUUGGACAAUGGGCGAAAGCCUGAUCCAGCAAUGCCGCGUGAGUGAUGAAGGCCUUAAGGUUGUAAAGCUCUUGUACCCGGGAUGAUAAUGACAGUACCGGGAGAAUAAGCUCCGGCUAACUCCGUG
RNAcentral lists this ribosomal RNA (433 nucleotides) under uncultured bacterium. RNAcentral's name for it is "partial 16S ribosomal RNA". It matches the Rfam family "Bacterial small subunit ribosomal RNA", at positions 29 to 507 of the family's 1533-position model. The record is from RNAcentral.